This 467-nucleotide ribosomal RNA is filed under the name uncultured bacterium. RNAcentral's name for it is "partial 16S ribosomal RNA". It matches the Rfam family "Bacterial small subunit ribosomal RNA", at positions 28 to 507 of the family's 1533-position model. The record is from RNAcentral.
GAUGAACGCUGGCGGCGUGCUUAACACAUGCAAGUCGAACGGAAAGGCCCAAGCUUGCUUGGGUCCUCGAGUGGCGAACGGGUGAGUAACACGUGGGUGAUCUGCCCUGCACUUCGGGAUAAGCCUGGGAAACUGGGUCUAAUACCGGAUAGGACCACUUCUUGGAUGUUGUGGUGGAAAGUUUUUUCGGUGUGGGAUGAGCUCGCGGCCUAUCAGCUUGUUGGUGGGGUAAUGGCCUACCAAGGCGUCGACGGGUAGCCGGCCUGAGAGGGUGUACGGCCACAUUGGGACUGAGGUACGGCCCAGACUCCUACGGGAGGCAGCAGUGGGGAAUAUUGCACAAGGGGCGCAAGCCGGAUGCAGCGACGCCGCGUGGGGGAGGACGGCCUUCGGGUUGUAAACUCCUUUCGCUAGGGACGAAGCGUUUUGUGACGGUACCUGGAGAAGAAGCACCGGCUAACUACGUG